CAGCGGAGGGAUCAUUACUGAGUUUACGCUCUAUAACCCUUUGUGAACAUACCUAUAACUGUUGCUUCGGCGGGUAGGGUCUCCGUGACCCUCCCGGCCUCCCGCCCCCGGGCGGGUCGGCGCCCGCCGGAGGAUAACCAAACUCUGAUUUAACGACGUUUCUUCUGAGUGGUACAAGCAAAUAAUCAAAACUUUUAACAACGGAUCUCUUGGUUCUGGCAUCGAUGAAGAACGCAGCGAAAUGCGAUAAGUAAUGUGAAUUGCAGAAUUCAGUGAAUCAUCGAAUCUUUGAACGCACAUUGCGCCCGCCAGCAUUCUGGCGGGCAUGCCUGUUCGAGCGUCAUUUCAACCCUCAAGCUCUGCUUGGUGUUGGGGCCCUACAGCUGAUGUAGGCCCUCAAAGGUAGUGGCGGACCCUCCCGGAGCCUCCUUUGCGUAGUAACUUUACGUCUCGCACUGGGAUCCGGAGGGACUCUUGCCGUAAAACCCCCAAUUUUCCAAAGGUUGACCUCGGAUCAGGUAGGAAUACCCGCUGAACUUAAGCAUAUCAAUA
RNAcentral lists this ribosomal RNA (552 nucleotides) under Colletotrichum sp. BDS-2011. RNAcentral describes it as "eukaryotic LSU rRNA". The stretch from base 190 to 343 matches the Rfam family "5.8S ribosomal RNA". The record is from RNAcentral. Lineage: Eukaryota; Fungi; Ascomycota; Sordariomycetes; Glomerellales; Glomerellaceae.